ACUGCUCAGUAACACGUGGAUAACCUACCCAAGAGUCCGGGAUAACCCCGGGAAACUGGGGAUAAUACCGGAUAGGUCAAACUUGCUGGAAGGCUGUUUGGUUGAAACCUCCGGGGCUUUUGGAUGGGUCUGCGGCUGAUUAGGUUGUUGCCGGUGUAACGUACCGUCAAGCCUGUAAUCAGUACGGGUUGUGGGAGCAAGAGCCCGGAGAUGGAUUCUGAGACACGAAUCCAGGCCCUACGGGGCGCAGCAGGCGCGAAAACUCUACAAUGCAGGCAACUGCGAUAGGGGAACAUCGAGUGGCGUCCAUAUUGGAUGUCUGUCCCCCAGCCUAAAAAGCUGGGGUUAGCAAGGGCCGGGCAAGACCGGUGCCAGCCGCCGCGGUAAUACCGGCGGCUCGAGUGGUGGCCGAUAUUAUUGAGUCUAAAGGGUCCGUAGCCGGCUUUGCAAGUCUCUCGGGAAAUCCAGCGGCUUAACCGUUGGUCGUCCGGGGGGUACUACAUUGCUUGGGACUGGGAGAGGUAGGAGGUACUCAGGGGGUAGGAGUGAAAUCCUGUAAUCCUUUGGGGACCACCGGUGGCGAAGGCGUCCUACCAGAACAGGUCCGACGGUGAGGGACGAAAGCUAGGGGCACGAACCGGAUUAGAUACCCGGGUAGUCCUAGCCGUAAACGAUGCUCGCUAGGUGUCACAACAGUCGUGAACUGUUGUGGUGCCGUAGGGAAGCCGUGAAGCGAGCCACUUGGGAAGUACGACCGCAAGGUUGAAACUUAAAGGAAUUGGCGGGGGAGCACA
RNAcentral lists this ribosomal RNA (794 nucleotides) under uncultured archaeon. RNAcentral describes it as "bacterial SSU rRNA". It matches the Rfam family "Archaeal small subunit ribosomal RNA", at positions 85 to 880 of the family's 1478-position model. The record is from RNAcentral.